UACGAAGGGGGCUAGCGUUGUUCGGAAUUACUGGGCGUAAAGCGCGCGCAGGCGGUCUUCCAAGUCAGUGGUGAAAGCCCGGAGCUCAACCCCGGAAUUGCCAUUGAAACGGUUGGACUUGAGGAUGAGAGAGGUGAGUGGAAUUCCCAGUGUAGAGGUGAAAUUCGUAGAUAUUGGGAAGAACACCGGUGGCGAAGGCGGCUCACUGGCUCAUUACUGACGCUCAGGCGCGAUAGCGUGGGGAUCAAACAGG
RNAcentral lists this ribosomal RNA (253 nucleotides) under uncultured bacterium. Its description in RNAcentral is "partial 16S ribosomal RNA". It matches the Rfam family "Bacterial small subunit ribosomal RNA", at positions 524 to 776 of the family's 1533-position model. The record is from RNAcentral.